UGGACUUGAACUCGUUGCGGGCAGAUUGCUGAAGGCGAAGCAUGAGAAGCUCGCCUUUAAGUUCGACGACCUCUUCGUUGAUUUGGUCGGUGGUUUUCUGGCGAAUCUCCUUCAUCUCCUCCUCUCUCUUGGCCAUCAUGACCACCGACGCAGCUGCAGUGCGCGUCCCGGAGCAAGAGAGUGGAACCGAGCAGGUGCUGCGGGGACGGAGCUGGAUGCCAUUGAAGGAUGAUUUUGCGAAUAAUGGCUUCGGAAGAAAGGGAACGGUUGAAGAAGAAGCGGAAGCAGUAGACAGGUU
RNAcentral lists this long non-coding RNA (298 nucleotides) under Arachis ipaensis. Its description in RNAcentral is "long non-coding RNA (AIPA_LNC000792)". The record is from RNAcentral. Lineage: Eukaryota; Viridiplantae; Streptophyta; Magnoliopsida; Fabales; Fabaceae.